UGGUUUCCGUAAACCUUCUAGAAACAAAUCUUCUUCUUUCAUCACUUCUCUCUCAGUUAUCCAAAACUCAUCUCUCUUUUGUUUUUUCUUCCGAGUUCUGCAACUCUUCUCCAUCUAUCUUCAUCUCCUCCAAGAAAUUAGAAUUUGAAACCCAACUUCAACAAUAAUAGUGAAAUAGAAGAAUCAAGAUAAUCAUCGUUUUUUUUAUGAUAUCCCCAAACCCUUUCUUCAUCUCCUCUACCAAAGUUUCUUUAUCACCUACACAACUAAAACCCUAUCUUCUAAAUUAUGUGCAUCGUCAUUAAACAAGCCCUUUACUCCACCUCGUUCUUAUUGAUGUCUUCUAUUAAUUUUUUCGUUUUCUGGAAACAGAAACAGAACCAUUUCUGUAACCAAUUUCUUAGAAUUGUAACAUCAAAUUCAAUUGUGAACCAUUCUUAAAUCCAUUUUUUUGCCUUUAUCUGUUAGGGUUCUAAUCAACUAUUCUUCUAUUUCGUAAAUGGAACCCCCUUUUAUUUCAACAUCAGUAGUAUAUCGGAGAAGAGUACCACAAAAAUCAGAGAAGAUGUUCUGGUUAUUAUCAUUGGAUUUAUUUGUGUUAUGUUUUAUUCGAAGUAAUACAUCUACAAAGCAGCCAUCAGGGAUCAGCUGGAACACAUGAUUCUUGGGGACCUCAAAUUAAGGGUCUUACUUGAGACACCAAAUGAUGAGAUGAACAUCAUUAGAAACGAUUCAUUUAGUUUAUUGAUGAUCUCAGUGGAGUAAGAAAUGGAAUUGACUAUUGAGGUUUGUGCAUUUGAUAAUUGUGGAAUGGGCUAGAGUUCGAUACCCACUAGAAAAUCUGAAUACAUGGACAACAAUAUGGCAAAAGAUGCAUUGGCAUUAAUUGAUCAUUUAGGUUGAGGGAUGUUGAAAUUCUUCAAAUGGGUUUCUUGGUAUGAAACUCAAAUUGGAUAUUCUCCCAAUUAUGGAGCUCAUGGUCUGAAAUAUUUUGGUUAGUCCUAUUUUCUGUAGGCAUGCUUCGUAUGAUUUGGUUGCUCUGAAUUUUGGAGAUGCUUUAAAUUGAGACCGUAUGCUAUGUUCCAGUUGUACCGAAGAAUUUGUGACUUAUUGGACUUCUGGUUUUGUAAAUAUAGAAUUUGUGAUUGAUAAGUUACAUUACUGAGAGCUCCACAUGUACCAGGGGCCAUCAAUUAUUUCAUGGAAUUCCUCAUGUGGUCAUUUAUUUUGCAUCCAAGUGAUGAUCUGAAAAUCCUAACUAUUUCUUCUUAUCUGAUAUAUGAUAUCGGGCAUGCCAAGCUUGCAGGUUUGCUUCCACAUUACAGGUUAUGUAAAUUUCAUUUUUCUUUUCCUUGCCUCGUUUUAAAGUUAAUCAACAUCUGAUUUGUUGUAUCGUUCUUAUGUCUUAUUGGAUAUGUUAUUUGUAUUGGUUUCUGUUUAUCUUGCAAUGCCACAGACUCCCGUUUCACUCCAUCCUUGAUUGACAGGAGAUAUUGCGAUUGGACCCCUAAUGGAAGAGAAAGUUGAGGUGGAGGAUACUGUUGCAGAAUCGAUUCUGGAUAUUGUCCACGAUUAAUAUGCUCACUACAAGAAAACUAAGCUUGUCCAAUAUGCUUACGAUUCUGUGUUGGGUCAUCUAGUUAGAGCCAUUUGCUGGAUAUUAUGGAGUCAUUGGUCACCACAUAAAAAUAAAUGGCAUUGUUCUAAACUUCACCGAUUUCCAACUGUACUUAUUUCAGGUACCCAUACAAAGUUAUUUGUGCGGUCACUUCUAAUGGAUAUGCUCUUCUUUUAGAAAGAAUUCCAUGGUCGGAGACGAAGAAGGGACAAAAGAGAUAGCACCGUGGAAGAUGAAAGUCCAGUUUUCAUGCAGGUGCAUCCUGGAACGAAAAUAACAAGCGAUCGGUAUUGCAAUUGAGAGCACAAGGUUGAAAAAACUUUAGGAAGCUAUUACGAAUUUGUUUUGCUAUGUAUAAACAAUUAAAGUGGGUGUAUAUUCAAGUUUUCAUAUAUUGUGAACUUGGGUAGUAGUUAGAAAUUGAAGUGUAAAUUAAAUCUAGCUUUUAAUGUAAAUAUUUACUUUGUUUCCAUAUU
Papaver somniferum (opium poppy) is the source of this 2094-nucleotide long non-coding RNA. RefSeq lists it as uncharacterized. The transcript has 7 exons. The record is from RefSeq and is a predicted model, not a curated record. NCBI's taxonomy places the organism in Eukaryota, Viridiplantae, Streptophyta, Magnoliopsida, Ranunculales, Papaveraceae.